Molecule: ribosomal RNA, 250 nt
Filed under: uncultured bacterium
Lineage: Bacteria
Description: partial 16S ribosomal RNA
Rfam family: Bacterial small subunit ribosomal RNA
Source: RNAcentral
UACGGAGGGUGCAAGCGUUAUCCGGAUUCACUGGGUUUAAAGGGUGCGCAGGCGGGAAAUUAAGUCAGUGGUGAAAGCCUCGAGCUCAACUUGAGAACUGCCAUUGAUACUGAUUUUCUUGAAUAUAGUUGAGGUAGGCGGAAUACAACAUGUAGCGGUGAAAUGCAUAGAUAUGUUGUAGAACACCAAUUGCGAAGGCAGCUUACUAAACUAUUAUUGACGCUGAGGCACGAAAGCGUGGGGAGCGAAC